GAAAAAAAAGCUUUGGAAGCGAAUUUAGAAAGAUUUUUGUAGAAAAGAGAAGGAUCUGAGAUCGGAUUAUUAAAAAAUUUAGCUAAUUCAGACCAUGAUAUAAAUAUCUGAAAGCAAUCAAAGGGUUGAUGGAAAAGCUUAUCGUCUUGUUGGAAAAAUCGACUUUUCCACGUUGAGCUGGAGAAAAAAACAUUCAGUACAAAAUAAGUUGCAUGGAAUGGAGACGGAAAUGGUUUAGAUCCAGAUACUGGCCUAGAGCCUGAUCGGUUUGCAGAUAAGCUACGUCCAGAUCGGCUAAGUGAAGUUGAUGAUGACGAUAUUAAGGCUUUCAUCUUAUAUUUGGAUAACGCUUAUGAUAUGCAUCGCAAACUCAAUGAAUUUAAUCAGUUUUUGAAGAAAGUCGUAACUGGAGAUGAAAAAUUAAUUGUUUACAACAACGUUAGUCGAAAACGAGUUUGGUCCAAGCAUGAUGAAACGCCCCAAACCACUUCAGAGGCUGAUAUUCAUUAAAAGAAGAUUAUGCUGUCCGUUUGGUGGGAUAGGACGGAUGUGGUAUAUUUUGAGUUUCUCCCAAAAACCAAACGAUUAGUUCGAAUAUCUACUGUGAACAACUGAACAAAUUGAGUACAACCAUCAACGGAAAGCGGCCAGAAUCAGUCAAUCGCAAAGGUGUCAUAUUGAACCAGGAAAAUCCUAGACCACACUCAUCUUUGCCCUUUCCCCAAAAACUGAGAGAGCUUGGCUGGGAACUUUUGAGGUAUUCACUAGAUAUCACUGACCUUUCAGAACUCAUGAAAUAGUAAAACUGAAAUAUGAGAUGAGAUGGCGAAAGAUCAUCAUCCACUAAAGUUCAUUGUGAAACAGACGGCCAAUAAAGAGUAUUAUUUGAGAGUUUUGUGGCGUUUGCAAGGAAACAUCCAUCAUAAACGGCCGAAAUUGUUGGUCAACAGUUUCCUGAAACUUUCAUGACGAUAAUGCGCCAUCGCACCGAUCUGUAGUUGUGAACGAUUUUUAGACCAAAAACUCGUCCAAUACCAUUGAUUAAGCACCGUAUUCACCGGAUUUGACCCCAUGCGAUUUUCUGUUUGUUUCCAAAACUCCAGCUACCGAUCCGUGGAACCCGUUUCGGCUCGAUUAAGCCCGUAAAAGAAUAUUCGCAGAGGGAACUGAGACUAACUGAUUUCAAUACCUGAUGCAAACAAACUGGUUGACAGAUCGCGCUCAUUUUUGGCAUAGUAAUUAAGGACAGCGCUACGAACUUAACCCAAAAAUGUGCUGAAAAAUAUUCAGCGCAGGCAGGUUAAUUGACAAUAUCCGGAAACUUUCAGGUAUAAUCGGUCAUCUAGCCACACUUUAUCAAAUGUCAAAUCUUAUCAUGCCAACCGUUAUCAUGCGACAGGUUGCUUUUUCGCAAAAGAAUUGCAAGUGUCGCAGUCUAAUUUGAAAUGCAUUCAUUAAUCCGUCAGCGCAGAUAAAUUGAUUGUUUUGUUGCAGUUUACCUGAGAGAUUUUGUACUGCGUAAUAUUCAAUUAAAAAAGAAGGAAAACCUUUUAGUUUUGAUAUUAGUUCUUCCUUUAAUUUGAACAAAAAUUUAUGUGCAUAAUUUGAUUUAAAAAAAAAAAAAUUCGAAAACUUUAUACAGCUUUGCUUUUAAUUGAGAAACCCUUCGCAUUCAGUAUAAAAUCGAGCAAAUGUCCCUUUUUGUAGUUUGAUAGCAGAAAAAUUAUUUCUUUUUUGCUUUGAUAUUUUUCCAAAAAAAAAAAAAAAAAAAACAAGGAAACUCGUUUCGAAUUUCCCUCUGCACAAAGAUGCCAGAGCAAGGCUUGCUAAAGGCAGCAUCAACGAAAGAAAUGCAAAUUCUUUUUCACCGGAAAAAGUGUGAAACUAUUGUAGGAAUGGAAGCAACAACAAAAACAGCUACAGUAUGACAGUAGUGUGGAGGCGUCCAGGUGCCACAAACAGCAUAAGAAAUGACAACAACGAGCAAUGAGCGACGUGGAACGAGGAAUGAAUCGGAAAAAAUCAGCACCACAAGCAGAUAACUGUGAAAUGGCUGCAGAGGCAAUGCCGUCAGCGGUGUCAACAAAGGCUGUGGUUUCCCGCUGUUGCUGUUGGAGUUGCGGAGAGGAAAAGAGAGAACAGAAGAGAGAGUAGAGGCGUUCGCACUGUCAACUGCAAUUGCAGGAUAUUGAAGAAAAGAUGUUAUAAAACGUGAAUGCUGAAGAAUGUGCUGCUCCAAAAUAAAUAAAAAAAAUUGCUGACAACUGCAAAAAUACGUUUGCACACACUCAUCGUACACAAAUACAAAUACAAACAAACAAAAUUGUCCGCUAUUUGUGCAAACACUUGGUCAGCAAGAAUUGGCAUUUUUCAACGGUGACUUUUCAAUAUUUGAUGAGUACAAAUUGGACAAUUGCGACAAGUGAUUCCUUCGUCUUUUGUUAUGUCUUAUUUUCAAGCGAUAAUUUUCUCUCUUCUUCACCUCAUGAUUUGAUUUGUGCGUUUUUUUCCUCAGUAAUGUGAUUGAGUUUUAAAGAACAGUUAAAAUAGAAUGGGUGUAGAUGGAGAUAAGAAGUUGCAUAUUGUAGAUAUUUAUGUUUGUAUUAUUUAUUUAUUAUAUAUAUAUGUACGUUUAUACAUCUCAGAACGAUUUUUAUGUAUUUUACUAAAGCUCCUAGCGACUCAUUGUAGAAGGGAAAUUUUCAUUUCUGAAUAAGCACUUUUAAUGAUUUAGUUGCUAGGUUAUGUUAAGGGAUAAAGCCAAAAUAGAC
This 2771-nucleotide long non-coding RNA is filed under the name Ceratitis capitata (Mediterranean fruit fly). Its description in RNAcentral is "uncharacterized LOC110118465, transcript variant X1". The record is from RNAcentral. Lineage: Eukaryota; Metazoa; Arthropoda; Insecta; Diptera; Tephritidae.